Molecule: long non-coding RNA, 2721 nt
Organism: Chenopodium quinoa (quinoa)
Lineage: Eukaryota; Viridiplantae; Streptophyta; Magnoliopsida; Caryophyllales; Amaranthaceae
Exons: 10
Source: RefSeq, a predicted model, not a curated record
GAUCAAAGUAGUCAAGAAAGUAAAUCCGAGACUCAUUCUGCGAAGUUCUUUAAAGAUAAAGAAUCUUUCACUACAAGGAAAAAGGGCUUAGGCAACUCCGAAUCAGCAAUAGUUUUCUAAGCGUUGCAUAAAGGCAUUUAUGGCUGCACUUUUCCAACCUUUGUUUUAGCCCUUUAACAACCGCUGCUAAAGAUUAAGUAAGGCAACAGUUUUAUCACUACUUUUUUGUUAGAAUAUCAAACAACGGUUAAAAAAACUUAACCUAAAGCCUAUUAUAUUUUGGUAAACGCGCCAAGGACCCAAAUUUUUCCCUCCCAUGAAUUUUUUUCCCACAAACCAAAUCCCACCAAAACCCCAAGCUGCCUGUUUUUUCUCUCUCUAACUCAAUUUUUAUCUCAACUCAUUUUCUCUCUCUAACUCAUGAACAAGAUGCUAAUCCUCUCAUCAAUCUCUCACCCUAAUUUCGAAUUUAUCUGUUCUUUUCUCUCAUAAAUUUCAUUCAUCUUUAGAUUUCCUAAUUUUUCUCAUAACCCCCUACCGUACCUAGCUUAUAUUUCAUAAUUAGGGUUACUAACAUCUCAUUCACGAGCGUCUAGGUAGUAUCAACGAAUUUCUUAAUAAGAAGGUCUGAUAGCAGCUAGCAAAAUUGUGUGUAGAAACUGUACAAUUAUCGGGUCAGCAAGUUUCUCAUCAAGUGCUAGUGGGUCUGCUAAUUUGUUGACCUUUUUACAUCCUUUUGAAGUCGUCAAUAAAGACUGAUUAGAAUGUGGCAAAGUAAGGAAAAAGUUUAGGUUCAAAGGUAGGCUUAAAAGUACCUGAACCAACGAAGUUGACCGAAUAUGAGAAACAAAGGAACCUGACUAUCGAAAAAAAUGCUCUCAAAUUCAAAAAGCUUGGGAUGGAAAAGUUGGCUAAUGAUUUAUUAGCCAAAGUUAAGAGCUUGCAGCAAAAAGACAAAAAGAAACACCAGAUCAUAGAGUUGAAAUAUCAAGAUUAUGUGCCUGAUGAAGAUCAAUUUGAUGACGAUGAUGAUUCUGAACAAGAAUUUUUUGAAGUUCCAAGCAAUGAGAUAGAAGAAAUUAAUGAGUUAGUGGAAACACUAACAAAAUCUAUAUCUAAGAAGGUAAUGACCAAGGAACUUGCAUCUGCUAAAAAAAAAAAAAAAAAAAAAAAAAAAAAAGAAGCCAUUAUGUCCUUCCAUGGCGAUGGAUGAUUUCAUGAAGUUACAGCAACAAAAAGAUCCAAGUGAAACUCAACAAGUGGAUGUGGAGAUACAAAAUUUGGAAACACGUUUAAGAUCCAAGCGAAAGCAAACUGCUAUAAUUCCAUCUGAAAAUCAAACUGAUGUCAGCGUCAUUGAUAAUCAAGUAGUUGUCCCUCCGGAAAAGCAAGGCCCCAAGAAAAAAACUAGAGGGCUAACGAAUAUGUUUGAGGUUCAUGCUCGAAAAUGGGAAGACCGCGUGGCAAUCUACUGCAAUGAUAAAGGACAACCUGUAGGCCCUUCUAAAGCUAAGGAUGAACUUAGUCUAUUUCUGGGAACCAUUGCUCGUGAUCAUAAUUGGGCACCCUUAAAUUAUACUGAUUGGCACAAAGUACCUAACAAGGAUAAGAUUUGGGAAUAUGUUCAAAGCAAGUACAUCCUUCCAAAUAUUGCUAAAGAUUGGGUUCUUACAACUGUUGAUUGGUUUUGGAGAGGUUGGAAAUGCCGACUUAAGAAAUUACAUUACUACUCAUAUUCCAACAACAGUGGUAGAUGGACGUUUCGCCCAUUGAAUGUGCCUGAAGCACAUUUCAAAACUCUUCUAGCUUACUAGAAUACACAGGCAGCAAAGUAGCAAGACAAAUGCAUACAACUGGUCCUGAGGGUUUUGCGGGGUAUACAUCAGGAAAUGUUAGAAAUGGAUGGUGAAGCACCAUCAAAAUUAAAGAUGUUCGAACGUACGCGACGUCGUAAAGAAGGAAGGACCUAUAAGACAUCAGCUGACGAUACACAAAAGAAAAUUGAAGCAAUGAGGCGUUUGGAAGCAUCCCAAGUAGAUGUAAGUGAUGAUUCUAAAAAGGAUCCAUUUGAUGAAGUAAUGAAAGAAGACUAUAAUGGAUAUGUUCGUCUAAUUGGGAAAGGAGUUUCUCGUAAAAAGUUGAAGGCAAGUGGAGCUAGUAAUAAACUAGUUUUUCCAACUAAGGUUAUGGAGACCAUUAAUGUCGAUGUGCAAAAGGAUAUGCUUGUUGAAAAAGAAGAAUUAGAUAAGGAAAAGGAAGCACAUGCUGCCAAAGUAGCUGAAUUUACUGAGAUGCAAAAAAAUUAUGAAGCUCAAAAGGAAAGUCUGGCACAUGAAGUGGUAUCCUUAGUACUUGCUCAUCAACUUAGCGAAAAAAGGACCUUAAUCUUACUCCAGAUUUAAUCACCAAGGCUGUUGUAUCUACUAUUGAUGGUGGUGCAAAAACUUAGGCAUUAGCCACUGUUGAAUCAGGAUAUUUAUAUAUGGAGCAUACAACUUUUUGUAAAUUGAAGUAUCCAGCUCGUUAGGAUUAGGCGACAUUUUGAAAUUAGAUUUGAUUCAUAUUUUGAUAUAUAUGCAAGUUUUUGGACAUGUCAGAAGGCUUGGUAGGAUAUAUGUAUGCAAGUUUUUGGACAUGUAAGAAGCCUUGGUAGUAUAUGGGUUGAUGUAAUUGAUUGUGUAUAUAUACAUAUAUAUAUAUAUAUGUGUGUGUGUGUGUGUG